This 433-nucleotide ribosomal RNA is filed under the name uncultured bacterium. Its description in RNAcentral is "partial 16S ribosomal RNA". It matches the Rfam family "Bacterial small subunit ribosomal RNA", at positions 29 to 507 of the family's 1533-position model. The record is from RNAcentral.
AACGAACGCUGGCGGCAUGCCUAACACAUGCAAGUCGAACGAGACCUUCGGGUCUAGUGGCGCACGGGUGCGUAACGCGUGGGAACCUGCCCUUAGGUUCGGAAUAACUCCCCGAAAGGGGUGCUAAUACCGGAUAAUGUCUUCGGACCAAAGAUUUAUCGCCUUUGGAUGGGCCCGCGUUGGAUUAGCUAGUUGGUAGGGUAAAAGCCUACCAAGGCGACGAUCCAUAGCUGGUCUGAGAGGAUGAUCAGCCACACUGGGACUGAGGCACGGCCCAGACUCCUACGGGAGGCAGCAGUGGGGAAUAUUGGACCAUGGGCGAAAGCCUGAUCCAGCAAUGCCGCGUGAGUGAUGAAGGCCUUAGGGUUGUAAAGCUCUUUUACCCGGGAUGAUAAUGACAGUACCGGGAGAAUAAGCUCCGGCUAACUCCGUG